GGAGAACAAAAGUGAUGAAGAAACGUUUCUCUUCUUCUGAUAAUUUCAGCCACAAGUGAUGCUUCUGUCUACUUUACCAACAAACCCUUCAGUCAUCUGAUUCUUGGCUGCGUGCUGAUAGUUCCCAGCACCCUGACGGCUGCAAAGUGUCUGUGGAACCUCACAUUCCGUCCUGAAUCAUUGCUUCCUGCAAGCAGCCUGAUAAUUGUGUGCCUCCUGGAAGCAGUUGCAUCCUUUGGUACAACAAUGCUGGUUGUCAUCUGCCUUCCUGAAUUUGACAUCCUGACAAAUGUGUUCAUUUCCAACAGUAUUUACCUGAUCCCAU
Long non-coding RNA from Mobula hypostoma (lesser devil ray), 325 nucleotides. RefSeq lists it as uncharacterized. The record is from RefSeq and is a predicted model, not a curated record. The transcript is spliced from 3 exons. Lineage: Eukaryota; Metazoa; Chordata; Chondrichthyes; Myliobatiformes; Myliobatidae.